RNAcentral lists this long non-coding RNA (1646 nucleotides) under Anas platyrhynchos platyrhynchos (common mallard). RNAcentral's name for it is "lncRNA (ENSAPLG00000019790.1)". The record is from RNAcentral. Lineage: Eukaryota; Metazoa; Chordata; Aves; Anseriformes; Anatidae.
GUUUUGGUCUGAGGACAAACAGUUGCCCAAGUUCUGAUAUAACACAGUAACACCCUGUUUUUAUAGUGUAAAACACAGUUACUAUGUUUUUGUGUACUAAAAUUCUGUUGCUAUCCUACCCGUCAUUUGGGAGUUUUGUCAUAAAGCAUGCUAACAGUUGUCAUUAUCCCACUUUUCUGUCCUUCACCCUUGAUUAAUUUAAUUGGCCUGGAUUAGAAGAUAACUGAUGAUGAUAACGACUAGGAUGAAAAUAUAACAAGUCAGAAAGAGAAGUCAAGAAAACAUGCACUAAAAAUUAGUGUCAAACAUUCAAUCUUUUAUGAAUUGAUGAACGUUCCCAGAAUGGUGGCCUGCUCCAAGGACUGAAAGAGCCAUCAGGCAACUGCAAGAUUCAGUCUCACCAUGUAGUGAGGCACCAAUCAAAAUCUCAGGCCACUAUACAUCAUAUCUCGAACUGUGUUUUGAAAUGCAAAUUAGCAUUUUAAUCAUCAUUUUCAGCUGCCAGCAACUCAGCUGAUGAGAAGUCAGCUUCUCUUCCAGCUGAGUGAUGAUCCUAAGGAUCUUACUUCUGCUUCUCUACCCUCCCCAUAGCAUACCAUGACCCUGUGUUUUUAUCUUGUUUAUAUUUUGUGGCUUGCAUUACACCUUACAGGAGCACUGAAAGCAGAGUAUGCCUGUAGUAAAAGUAAGCACAAUUUGCCUCUCUUUGAUAAACUGUUGCAUAUCCUUCUUACUGCAGUUAGGUUAUGUACCAGCUGAGAGAGAUGGAGGGGAAAACACUUUCACUCAAGUUUCACAAGAACACCUUUUGCACCACUUUACAAGUGAGAGUCAAAGAGAAAUAGAAAUAUAUAUUGUUAGUAGUUAAAGCAGGAACUAGAAUCAACACCACCACCUCCCCUUCUCCCUCCUGUUCCUACAGGUUCCAAACGGGCAAACAAGGAGUUAUGGUAUGCUCCAGCCAGGACUCUGGCUUAGGAAUCAGCUCUCCAUCAUUACAUGGCACCAGCACAAAGGCAGGUGGGCAGUGUGACUGAAGCCAGGCUGACACAGCACCCAGACCCAUUUGCACUGAAGGUCUGUAGACUAGGACUGCAGCCAUUCAGCAGAAUGCAUGAACACAGAAGCACUUUCCAUCUCAUGCAGACAGCUGAGCUGGGGGGAAAGGAGGUUGCACUUGUGAACCCCAGGUUUUUGAAGGAAGCUGAGAUGAGGAGAUGAGGAUGUAUGAAAAGACAUUGGGAAGACUAUUACUUCUGUGAGAAGCCUGGGUGCCAUGACCUGUUGAUAUGGGAGCAACAGACUAGCGAAUUUUUGUGUUAUAUUAGCUUUAUUUCAUGAAACUUGUUUAUAUUUAUGCAAAUGAAGUUGUAUCCCACUGAUUAAGGCUGUUUUAUUUUCGUUUGAGUCAUCUCACGAUGCAACCACUAGGAAGAUAAACCCACAGUAGAAACAUAAAAGAUGAAACAAAGUUCCUAUAAAAGUUGUCUAGAUUAGCUCUGUGAUGGGGGCCACAAGGGCCAGCUAUAUGCAGAAAUAAUGCCGAUUUAACUAAAACCUUUGAACUGAUUUAAUUAAAAUCAACAUAACCCCUACCUGCUUCUUUAAGAAAUAAAUGUAUUUGGUUGGAUGUAUAUUAAUUUUAG